AAUCAACGCUGGCGGCGUGCCUCAGACAUGCAAGUCGAACGCGAAAGCUCCCUUCGGGGAGCAAGUAGAGUGGCGCACGGGUGAGUAACACGUAGGUAAUCUACCUUUGGAUGGGGAAUAACAACCGGAAACGGUUGCUAAUACCGCAUAAUGCAGCGGCACCUAAUGGUGACAGUUGUUAAAGCGGGGGAUCGCAAGACCUCGCGUCUGAAGAGGAGCCUGCGGCAGAUUAGCUAGUUGGUAAGGUAACGGCUUACCAAGGCGAUGAUCUGUAGCCGGCCUGAGAGGGCGGUCGGCCACACUGACACUGACAUACGGGUCAGACUCCUACGGGAGGCAGCAGUCGGGAAUUUUGGGCAAUGGGCGAAAGCCUGACCCAGCAACGCCGCGUGAAGGAUGAAAUCCCUCGGGAUGUAAACUUCGCAAGAACGGGAAGAAUAAGCCGGUGUAAAUACCACCGGCGAUGACGGUACUGUUUGUAAGCUCCGGCUAACUCCGUGCCAGCACG
RNAcentral lists this ribosomal RNA (508 nucleotides) under uncultured bacterium. RNAcentral's name for it is "bacterial SSU rRNA". It matches the Rfam family "Bacterial small subunit ribosomal RNA", at positions 32 to 515 of the family's 1533-position model. The record is from RNAcentral.